CCUACGGGGGACAGCAGUGAGGAAUAUUGGUCAAUGGGCGGGAGCCUGAACCAGCCAAGUCGCGUGAGGGAAGACGGUCCUAUGGAUUGUAAACCUCUUUAGGCGGGGAGCAAUGCCGGGCACGCGUGCCCGGCGGGAGAGUACCCGCAGAAUAAGCAUCGGCUAACUCCGUGCCAGCAGCCGCGGUAAUACGGAGGAUGCGAGCGUUAUCCGGAUUUACUGGGCGUAAAGCGCUCGUAGGCGGUAUGUCAAGUCAAGGGUGAAAUCCCCGCGCUCAACGUGGGAACUGCCUUUGAAACUGGCAAACUGGAGUGUGUGAGAGGAUAGUGGAAUUCCAGGUGUAGGAGUGAAAUCCGUAGAUAUCUGGAGGAACAUCAGUGGCGAAGGCGACUAUCUGGCACAUAACUGACGCUGAGGAGCGAAAGCGUGGGUAGCAAACAGGAUUAGAUACCCCAGUAGUC
This 461-nucleotide ribosomal RNA is filed under the name uncultured bacterium. Its description in RNAcentral is "partial 16S ribosomal RNA". It matches the Rfam family "Bacterial small subunit ribosomal RNA", at positions 338 to 795 of the family's 1533-position model. The record is from RNAcentral.